UACAGGAUUUUAGUUGCAAAAAUGGUUAGGUGACUUAACUCGUGAAGAGAGGCAGAGAGCGCGUAAUCUGAGCGCGUGCUGAUUUCCCUCGAAAUUCAAACCUCAGUCACAUUGAGUACUCUGUCUGAAUUCCGAAAUCCCUAAAACCCCUUUUUCCUCCCUCGCAAACCAAACACUCCAACAAUACGACGUAGUACAGAUCGAUCGAUGAGGAACAUUAUAUCGAUGUGGGAAAAUGGACGGCCGUCGGAAAAUGGAUCCGACAACGGCAAGGAUAAUGACGAUAACAAUAAGGAGAAGACGAUAGCAAAGGCAGCAGGGUUCGUGGUUUUCUCGGGAAUCGCAAUGAGCAUUCUCAAAGCCGUCAAUCCUUUCAAUAAUCCAAACCUCAAUAGUCAAAGCAGUGAGGUAAAGGCAACAGUUUUUGAGUUAGCUCAACUUCAAACUCAGCCUCAAGUGCUUCAACAAUGCCAGCCAGAGCCUGAGCCCAUUGUCAAGAAACCGAAUUGUUGUGCGGAGAAAAGAGCGAAGGAAGCUUCACAAAAUGUAAUAGAGAUUGAGCGGGGAGACACUCUUUGGGGGCUCUCUAGACAAUAUGGGGUCUCAAUUGAGGCAAUUAAGGAGGCUAACGGGCUUGAAGGGGACACCAUCUAUGCUGGCAAGAAACUUCAUAGAAACCUGUCAACAUGUGAAUAUUAGCAUUGAAACUAGAGAAACAAUGAAAACCUACAAUGGACUAUGAAGCAAGGGAUACGUAUCCACUUCACCUCCCACUCUGUAAUGGUGGAAGCUCAUAAAUCUCUCAUCAUGGAGUGUGAGAUCAAUCUUGUCCAUCAGGUCUUCCCACAUGCAUGUGCUCUUCUUCCACCAUACUGUAGGCUUCUUUCUAUUUUUGGUGCAAGUAUGGCGCAUUUCUUAUGCUUGAGCUCCGUGUCACUGCUCAAAGAAUGCAGAACUCUAAGGCAGCAGCGAAGAAGCAGAAGGUUCAACUUAGGGGAUGCAGUGCCUUGUGCUGCAGUUGUAGGCUGAGUGUUUCGUCGUCUUCAGAAGAAGCUGAAAGUUCCAAUUCUGAUAGAUAUCCAACCAUUUCAAGCCUAACACAUGCCAUGGUGCAAGAAAGGUUAGAUAAGAUGAUUAGAGAAAGAGAAGAGGCUAAAAAUGAAGAGAGGAGGAAGGCGCGAGAUGAAAAGACCAAGUUUAUAGUGAUGAUAGCAAUGGAGAAAUCUUCUUACGAUCCAAGAGAGGAUUUUAGGGAGUCCAUUGAGCAGAUGAUAAUAGCAAAUAGGAUUCAUGAUACGAAGGAUUUAAGGCGACUUUUGAAUUAUUAUGUUUCUAUGAAUGCAGAGGAAUAUCGUGCUAUUAUAUUCGAGGUGUUCCAUCAAGUUUGCACCAAUUUCUUUUUAUCAUGUAAACACCAUUCAUAUCGUCAAGUAUAAAACUUCGGUUUUCCUUCAAUUC
Nicotiana tabacum (common tobacco) is the source of this 1458-nucleotide non-coding RNA. The record is from RefSeq and is a predicted model, not a curated record. Lineage: Eukaryota; Viridiplantae; Streptophyta; Magnoliopsida; Solanales; Solanaceae.